UACGGAGGGGGCUAGCGUUGUUCGGAAUUACUGGGCGUAAAGCGCACGUAGGCGGCCAUUUAAGUCAGGGGUGAAAUCCCAGAGCUCAACUCUGGAACUGCCUUUGAUACUGGGUGUCUGGAGUAUGGAAGAGGUGAGUGGAAUUCCGAGUGUAGAGGUGAAAUUCGUAGAUAUUCGGAGGAACACCAGUGGCGAAGGCGGCUCACUGGUCCAUUACUGACGCUGAGGUGCGAAAGCGUGGGGAGCAAACAGG
Molecule: ribosomal RNA, 253 nt
Filed under: uncultured bacterium
Lineage: Bacteria
Description: partial 16S ribosomal RNA
Rfam family: Bacterial small subunit ribosomal RNA
Source: RNAcentral